GAAAAUGGAUUUAGCUCUAUAACCCUUUGUGAC
This 33-nucleotide ribosomal RNA is filed under the name Colletotrichum gloeosporioides. RNAcentral's name for it is "partial 18S ribosomal RNA". Lineage: Eukaryota; Fungi; Ascomycota; Sordariomycetes; Glomerellales; Glomerellaceae. The record is from RNAcentral.